RNAcentral lists this ribosomal RNA (1071 nucleotides) under Triticum aestivum (bread wheat). RNAcentral's name for it is "partial small subunit ribosomal RNA". Lineage: Eukaryota; Viridiplantae; Streptophyta; Magnoliopsida; Poales; Poaceae. The record is from RNAcentral.
AUGACCGGUGGCAAGAUCCAGAAGAAGCGCCACGGUGGCGGCGGCGGGGGCGGUGGCGCGCGGCUGCAGGGUGGGAUCCCGUUCGAGAAGUCCAAGGGCCAGCACAUCCUGCGGAACCCGGCGCUGGUGGACUCCAUCAUCGCCAAGGCCGGCCUCAAGCCCACUGACACCGUCCUCGAGAUCGGACCCGGAACGGGAAAUCUCACCAAGCGGCUGCUCGAGGCCGGCGUCAAGGCCGUUGUUGCCGUCGAGCUCGACCCGCGGAUGGUUCUCGAGCUGAGCCGCAGGUUCCAGGGCCACCCCCUCUCCUCUCGCCUCAAGGUUAUCCAAGGAGAUGUUCUUAAAUGUGAUCUUCCUUACUUCGAUAUCUGCGUGGCAAACAUCCCAUACCAGAUAUCAUCCCCCCUUACAUUCAAGCUUCUGUCACACCGUCCGAUCUUCAGGUGUGCUGUGAUCAUGUUUCAACGUGAAUUUGCCAUGAGACUUGUAGCACAGCCUGGAGACACUCUGUACUGCCGUCUGUCAGUGAACGUGCAGCUCUUAUCUCGCGUGUCACAUCUGCUGAAGGUUGGACGGAAUAACUUCAGGCCUCCACCUAAGGUAGAUUCCUCAGUUGUGCGUAUCGAGCCAAGGAAGCCCCUCCCUCCUGUCAGCUUCAAGGAGUGGGAUGGACUCGUGAGGAUUUGCUUCAAUCGGAAAAACAAAACGCUGGGCUCCCUUUUCAAGCAGAAGCGCGUCCUCGAGCUGCUAGAGAAGAAUUACAAGACAAUGCAAUCUCUCCAGCUUGCCCAAGAUCCUGAAACGGGGGAGGAGAAGAUGUCACCCGACGAUGUCGCGUUGCUGGCCAAUAUGGUCGAGGACCUGAGCAUGGAGACCAGUGACGAGAAAGAGGACGAUGACAUGGAAAUGGAUGACUCCGACGCGGCAGAUGGCCGUGCUAGCUUCAAGGAGAAGAUUAUGGGUAUAUUGCAGCAGGGUGAUUUUGCAGAGAAGAGGUCUUCCAAGUUGAGCCAGGUUGAUUUCCUCUACCUGCUCUCUCUGUUCAACAAGGCAGGUAUACAUUUUUCGUGA